GACGAACGCUGGCGGCGUGCUUAACACAUGCAAGUCGAACGGUAAGGCCCUUCGGGGUACACGAGUGGCGAACGGGUGAGUAACACGUGGGUGAUCUGCCCUGCACUUCGGGAUAAGCCUGGGAAACUGGGUCUAAUACCGGAUAGGACCACUGCCUGCAUGGGUGGUGGUGGAAAGCUUUUGCGGUGUGGGAUGGGCCCGCGGCCUAUCAGCUUGUUGGUGGGGUGAUGGCCUACCAAGGCGACGACGGGUAGCCGGCCUGCGAGGGUGACCGGCCACGCGGGGACGGAGAUACGGCCCAGACUCCUACGGGGGGCAGCAGUGGGGAAUAUUGCACAAUGGGGGCAAGCCUGAUGCAGCGGCGCCGCGCGGGGGAUGACGGCCUUCGGGUUGUAAACCUCUUUCAGCACCGACGAAGCGCAAGUGACGGUAGGUGCAGAAGAAGGACCAGCCAACUACGUGCCAGCCGCCGCCGUAA
This 478-nucleotide ribosomal RNA is filed under the name uncultured bacterium. RNAcentral's name for it is "partial 16S ribosomal RNA". It matches the Rfam family "Bacterial small subunit ribosomal RNA", at positions 28 to 523 of the family's 1533-position model. The record is from RNAcentral.